Molecule: ribosomal RNA, 403 nt
Filed under: Verrucomicrobiota bacterium
Lineage: Bacteria; Pseudomonadati; Verrucomicrobiota
Description: Verrucomicrobia bacterium partial 16S ribosomal RNA
Rfam family: Bacterial small subunit ribosomal RNA
Source: RNAcentral
UGGGGAAUAUUGCACAAUGGGGGAAACCCUGAUGCAGCGACGUCGCGUGAGCGAAGAAGGUUCUCGAAUCGUAAAGCUCUGUCCUAUGAGAAGAUAAUGACGGUAUCAUAGGAGGAAGCCCCGGCUAAAUACGUGCCAGCAGCCGCGGUAAUACGUAUGGGGCGAGCGUUGUCCGGAAUUAUUGGGCGUAAAGGGUACGUAGGCGGUCUAUUAAGUCAGGUGUGAAAGCGUGAGGCUUAACCUCAUUAAGCACUUGAAACUGAUAGACUUGAGUGAAGGAGAGGAAAGUGGAAUUCCUGGUGUAGCGGUGAAAUGCGUAGAUAUUAGGAGGAAUACCGGUGGCGAAGGCGACUUUCUGGACUUUUACUGACGCUCAGGUACGAAAGCGUGGGGAGCAAACAGG